This 498-nucleotide ribosomal RNA is filed under the name uncultured bacterium. Its description in RNAcentral is "partial 16S ribosomal RNA". It matches the Rfam family "Bacterial small subunit ribosomal RNA", at positions 28 to 507 of the family's 1533-position model. The record is from RNAcentral.
GACGAACGCUGGCGGCGUGCCUAAUACAUGCAAGUCGAGCGAAGUUUUUCUGGUGCUUGCACUAGAAAAACUUAGCGGCGAACGGGUGAGUAACACGUAAAGAACCUGCCUCAUAGACUGGGACAACUAUUGGAAACGAUAGCUAAUACCGGAUAACAGUAUUUCUCGCAUGAGAGAUAUUUAAAAGUUGGUUAUGCUAACACUAUGAGAUGGCUUUGCGGUGCAUUAGCUAGUUGGUGGGGUAAAGGCCCACCAAGGCGACGAUGCAUAGCCGACCUGAGAGGGUGAUCGGCCACACUGGGACUGAGACACGGCCAGACUCCUACGGGAGGCAGCAGUAGGGAAUCUUCCGCAAUGGGCGAAAGCCUGACGGAGCAACGCCGCGUGAGUGAAGAAGGAUUUCGGUUCGUAAAGCUCUGUUGUUAGGGAAGAAUGGAUAUGUAGUAACGAGACAUGUAAGAGACGGUACCUAACCAGAAAGCCACGGCUAACUACGUG